Molecule: ribosomal RNA, 497 nt
Filed under: uncultured bacterium
Lineage: Bacteria
Description: partial 16S ribosomal RNA
Rfam family: Bacterial small subunit ribosomal RNA
Source: RNAcentral
GAUGAACGCUGGCGGCGUGCCUAAUACAUGCAAGUCGAGCGAACAGACGAGGAGCUUGCUCCUCUGACGUUAGCGGCGGACGGGUGAGUAACACGUGGAUAACCUACCUAUAAGACUGGGAUAACUUCGGGAAACCGGAGCUAAUACCGGAUAAUAUAUUGAACCGCAUGGUUCAAUAGUGAAAGACGGUUUUGCUGUCACUUAUAGAUGGAUCCGCGCCGCAUUAGCUAGUUGGUAAGGUAACGGCUUACCAAGGCAACGAUGCGUAGCCGACCUGAGAGGGUGAUCGGCCACACUGGAACUGAGACACGGUCCAGACUCCUACGGGAGGCAGCAGUAGGGAAUCUUCCGCAAUGGGCGCAAGCCUGACGCAGCAACGCCGCGUGAGUGAUGAAGGUCUUCGGAUCGUAAAACUCUGUUAUUAGGGAAGAACAAAUGUGUAAGUAACUAUGCACGUCUUGACGGUACCUAAUCAGAAAGCCACGGCUAACUACGUG